GGCCGUGGUGGGGGAGGAAGAAAGCCAGGCACUCUGUGGAGAAAGAGGAAGGUGGACAAGUGUGCGCAGCAGGUGGCCGAGAGCAUGACUUCAGCUUGCUGCUUUAAGGCCGUUUUAGCAGGACGAUGGAGAGAGGUUUCAGGGAUUGCUGAUACAAAAUUGGCUGAAUGUUUCAGGAGGGACUCUGGAGAACCUUAAGGUGGAGUGCGUCCGGAGUCUCUUACAGUACCGUAGCUGCAGUGGACUUCUCUCUUUUUCUUUUUUUUUUUUAAAGAGAAAUCUCUUUUUUGACAGUCAUCUUUUGAUGUGUUUAUUAUUUUUGGCAGGAAAAAAAGUGACUUCAGCACCUCUUUGCUAUUAUUUUAUGAAUUCAGAUUGAGAAACUGUAUAAUUUGACCACAGAGUGUUCAACGACCUCCCGGGUACAUGCAGGAUGUUUGUGUGGUACAAACCAGCAGACAGACAGACUGGUGUGAAAGUGCUGAAAUGUAGACGUGAAGCGGGUCUCCCAUACAUUUAAACACACUGCUCUACUUUUGUGUCUGGCAUGACCCGUUUGGGUUUCCUUGUCUUUAUGUUCUCACUUUAUAAAUAAAAGCUGUUUGAGGAAGAGA
Fundulus heteroclitus (mummichog) is the source of this 614-nucleotide long non-coding RNA. RefSeq lists it as uncharacterized. The transcript has 2 exons. The record is from RefSeq and is a predicted model, not a curated record. NCBI's taxonomy places the organism in Eukaryota, Metazoa, Chordata, Actinopteri, Cyprinodontiformes, Fundulidae.